CGAGGCUUCGUUCACGAGUUAUUAACGAAAAACCGGGACCAAUCGGAGAGCGAGUGUGGCUGACGGCACGCCCUCGCGGCCACCACAGCCACGUCAUACGGUCGGCGUGACGCGAGAUUGGCCGCAAGGGCGGAGCGCUGGCCGCACUCGCUCUCGCGAUCGGUCCACGUUUUUCGUUAAUAACUCGUAAACGAAGCCGCGGAUCGCAUUUUCGCAAAGGAAAAAGUUGCUUUAAAUCACCUCAGCAAUCAUCCUCGCCCAGAUUGCGAGCCAUUUUCAGGACACCCUGUAUAUACUUCAAAGCUCGAAGCUCUCGGAACCUUAUCUCAUCGUAUGGGACAUUUAAUUCUACAUUUUCCGCGGGUUACUCCCACAUCGAAAGUGGUCCCAUCGCAGCCGCGAGACGCAACUGCGAACUGUUUCCAGGGGGAUUUGACUAGAUUUUAUUCUUUCAGGACACCCGACGAGUUCGAGCGCCGUUCAAAAGUAAUGUUCUCGCGAACCGUGGCCACCCGAUGCUCGCGACCGAGCCGGGCCACCAUUUCUCCUCGCGAAUGCUUCCGAAUGUUCGAAGACACGUACCCCGCGCGUUCCGGCGAAUCCUCUCGCGCGCGUCCGCGCGCUCUCGAAAUUUAGCGCGCAAGCUGUCCCGACGAAUAAGAGAGUAUUUUAGGCGAAUGCGCGUGUCUCCGCGAAGGAUUAUGUAUCGCGACGAUAUAUAUAUCGUCUAGUUGUGUCAGUUCCUACGGCAGCGAAAACGGAGGCCGCGCGGAGAGUUUUUCGACGACGAUAUCGGCGUUUUCCCGAGGCGGGGCGAGCCUGCGACGUGUAAAAUGUAAAACGCGCGUACCUGAAAUAAAAUCGCGGAACGUUUCGUCAUGAAUUCGGAAAGCGCGCCCGGCGAACGGAGCAAACGAUUCGCAAUAUUUCCACGCGUCUUUCUCUCUCUGCGUCGAAUCUUCGAGCGCUCCACGAGUCGCGUCGUUCUCUCUCGAGGCUCCCGGGAAAAAUGUAAAACGUUUCCGCGACCCUGAACGCCGCGAAUCGCUAUCGUUAAGCACCUUGGAAUUUAGCGUGGCGAGAUCGAAACGUUGCCGCGGCUUUCGCGGAUCAGAGCUCGCGAGAAUCGCUCGCGCGCGCUGAUCCGCGCGGCGUCGAUUGACGUGCGUCCGUCGCGCGGGUUUGUUCGCGCGCCGACUCGCGUGCGAACGUUCUCUGCCAAAACUGUGUACGGAAUAAACUCUAGAUUGAAGCUCGCAUACUGAAUAAAGAGAAAGACAGCGGAAAAGACAGUGGAGAGAUGCUCGUUCUCACGCAACGUUCACGUUUCUUCCACCCCUUUCAUCGUACACAGCGUCUCAGCGCACACAUACACACACAUGAACACACAUUUUUUCUUUUCUCGAAUCCUCGAAACGCCCCGAAACGCUGCGAGCCCGACAGCCUAUAGCCGCAACUAUCUGCGAUCGCAUAAACACACACACACACACACAUGCAGAGACAAAGAAAUACGUUGUUCCGGCCGGUCGUCGCGUUUUCGUUUCUGAGCCAGCCGGCGCAGGACUAACGUCCUGAUUGUUUUCAGAUUUACGGCGAAUGGAGUGGCCGAGCAUCAGGACGCAGGUCGCGGUCUCGAGUUACAUCUGCCCGAAGUGCAACGCCGGAUUCCGGAGGAUGUGGGACCUGAUUAGGCACAAGUGCGGCCAGAUACCUAGAUACGCGUGUCCGUAUUGCCAUAAGAAGGACAACUCAUCCUCGAACGUUUACAGGCAUAUUAGGAGGUGGCACCCGAAGAUGCCCAGUGGAUCGACACGCCCUGCUUGAAGCCGAACAGGUGUCCGCAGUGCGACAAAUGCUUCGCGAAGCACAGGGACCUGAUCUUCCACGCGAGACACGCGUGCUGCGAGCCGAAGCGGAAGAUACGCGCCGCGAAACGCGCCGGAUCAUUCCACUACGCGAGCACCCUGGACUGCACCCAGUGCGGCAAGACGUUCAAACGCCGGAAAGAUCUCAACUACCACGUGCGACAUUUGUGCGGGAUACGCAGCAUACAGUGCCCCUACUGCAACAAGUGUUACACGUACACGUCGAACGUCAAGUACCACAUUAGUCGGUACCACAAGGGCAAGGAGAUGUCUACCGGGAGCACAGCUUGAAGUGGGACGGCGCCGCGGGCCUCGUUCAUUUCGCGGCGGACGCGAAAGCCGUUUGGAACAACAGGUACAGAUACCAUCCGAACGAGCGUAAGAGGUUCGAGUGCAUGAACUGCGGUUGCCGUUUCACCCAGAAGACGACGAUCACCAGGCACCUGCGUUACUUUUGCGGCCAGGGGCACCGUUAUCAGUGCCCGUACUGCGAGAUGCGUGCCUCGUGCUCCUCGAACAUAUACAGGCACGUGAGGUCGCGGCACGUCGGCUUCGAAGCGCACGCGAUCAAGCUGUUCGCGCCGAUCAAUACGCGACGGUCCACGUGAAAGAGAGAGAGAGAGAGAGAGAGAGAGAGAGAGAGCGAGAGAGAGAGAGAGAUGCGGUUCGGCGGGAAGAACGGCGACGAGACUGUUCGAAUAAUGGAACGCGCGUCGUUCCUCUCGGCGCAGGACUUUGCUCUUAGAGCAAAGCCGGUCGAAUUGUGUUCUAUCACUGUGUGAGACGCCUCGUCCUCUGUCCGUUCUGCUUCUUUUUUGGCUUUUGUUUUUGAACAAUGUUCAGAGACGUGUGAAGACGACGAGAAGAUAAAUAUAUGUGUCUUUCUGUACCAGA
This is a non-coding RNA of Megalopta genalis, 2759 nucleotides long. Lineage: Eukaryota; Metazoa; Arthropoda; Insecta; Hymenoptera; Halictidae. The record is from RefSeq and is a predicted model, not a curated record.